This 508-nucleotide ribosomal RNA is filed under the name uncultured bacterium. Its description in RNAcentral is "bacterial SSU rRNA". It matches the Rfam family "Bacterial small subunit ribosomal RNA", at positions 17 to 518 of the family's 1533-position model. The record is from RNAcentral.
UUCUGGCUCAGGAUGAACGCUAGCUACAGGCUUAACACAUGCAAGUCGAGGGGCAGCAUUAGAUUAACUUGCUAAUUAGAUGGCGACCGGCGCACGGGUGAGUAACGCGUAUCCAACCUCCCCCUGCUCAGGGAUAGCCCGGUGAAACCGGAUUAAGACCUGAUAGUUUCACUAGAUGGCAUCUGACGGUGAAUAAAGGUUUCGGCAAGGGAUGGGGAUGCGUCUGAUUAGCUUGUUGGCGGGGUAACGGCUCACCAAGGCGACGAUCAGUAGGGGUUCUGAGAGGAAGGUCCCCCACAUUGGAACUGAGACACGGUCCAAACUCCUACGGGAGGCAGCAGUGAGGAAUAUUGGUCAAUGGGCGGAAGCCUGAACCAGCCAAGUAGCGUGCCAGGAAGACGGCCCUAUGGGUUGUAAACUGCUUUUGUGCGGGAAUAAAGUCAGGGACGCGUCCCUGUUUGCAUGUACCGCAAGAAUAAGGACCGGCUAAUUCCGUGCCAGCAGCUGC